UUAAGCUGUGGGUUCUACCCUAUUCUGACCCUUGACUUGUCCAAUCAGAGUGUCCGGGGUCGGUGUAGGCUAAAACCCAGGCUGUA
Molecule: microRNA precursor, 86 nt
Filed under: Petromyzon marinus (sea lamprey)
Lineage: Eukaryota; Metazoa; Chordata; Hyperoartia; Petromyzontiformes; Petromyzontidae
Description: microRNA pma-mir-4544 precursor
Source: miRBase by way of RNAcentral